GAUGUCUCCAGACCAACCCUAAAGAAGUGCUCCCUGAUCUUUGAAAUUGAAUACACUUUUCUGUCUUUCCAUAAGUUGUCCCUUAAUUUGAACUGCAACCAAAUGAAGAGUGUAAUUACUUCCUUCAAGCCAUCCUGUCAUAUAAAGGUGAAUCCUCCUGCGGAGCCAAAAGUCAACUUCACCUCUGUUUCCUGGUUGUCCCAAGUCCCCAAACAUGAAAGGAUCAGUUCAUACACAAGUGUAGUGCAGUGGAAGAAGCAGGAUCAGUCAUGGAGUGAUUGCGCUGUGCACAAAAAACGUGGCAUUCAAUGUGGGCAGGAGUGCAAGGCAGAGCUGGAGCCAGAUUUGCUGAUACGAGGCGAGAGGUACGAGGCACGCGUUCGUGUGCGGUCUAUUUUUCAGCACCGCAAGGGAGCCUGGAGUGACUGGAGCCCCACUGCAUCAUGGGAGUCA
Long non-coding RNA from Oreochromis niloticus (Nile tilapia), 453 nucleotides. RefSeq lists it as uncharacterized. The record is from RefSeq and is a predicted model, not a curated record. The transcript has 4 exons. Lineage: Eukaryota; Metazoa; Chordata; Actinopteri; Cichliformes; Cichlidae.